UCGCUCCUACCGAUUUGAGUGAUCCGGUGAACCUCCUGGACCGUGUCUGUCCUUGAGACGGAUGUGGGAAGUUAAGUAAACCUUAUCACUUAGAGGAAGGAG
This 102-nucleotide ribosomal RNA is filed under the name uncultured eukaryote. RNAcentral's name for it is "partial small subunit ribosomal RNA". It matches the Rfam family "Eukaryotic small subunit ribosomal RNA", at positions 1676 to 1785 of the family's 1831-position model. The record is from RNAcentral.